AUGUACCAAAAGGGUUGUCGACUGCAUUUAAUGCUCAUGUAUGUCGACUAUCUUGAUCUGUCCACUGUGGACUUCACUGGGGUAGGAGGCCCGCCGCCUACGCACAAGUUUGCUGUUUCUGCAUGGACUAUCAACGCUGUCAAGGUUGUGCUUGCCGCAGACGGGGCAACUGAUACCAAAUAUGGAAAAUUGCAGCUGAUGGCCAAGCAUGCUAUAGACUACAGCGUGUUUGGGGGGCCUCAAAACUUUGGAAAGUGGAUGGACGUGCACUCAGCUCCAUCUUGCCCUACUGAGGUGAGGGCACCUGUUGAGCAUCUAAUUGGGAAGUUUGCAUCUGGAAUGACCGGCUUGCUCGGGAAUUUGGUUGAGGGCUGGACGUCUCUCAGUGGCUCUGAUAGUGACGUGGUUGCGAGGCAGUUCACUUCAUUUGUCCCAGAACGUACACAUCGGUCAACCGGUUGCCAUGGUCGGUAUGACUACAACAGUUCACAAGAGCCCGGUGACACACAAGAUGAUCUAGAUGGAGACGCUGGCCUCAGCAAGGAUGACGACGAUGACAUGGAGAACGUGCAACAGGACACCGAUCAUGAUGAACAUGCUUAA
RNAcentral lists this ribosomal RNA (603 nucleotides) under Triticum aestivum (bread wheat). RNAcentral describes it as "partial small subunit ribosomal RNA". Lineage: Eukaryota; Viridiplantae; Streptophyta; Magnoliopsida; Poales; Poaceae. The record is from RNAcentral.